AAUCUCUUCAGAGAUGAUGUCGUGAUCCGCCAGCCCAUACAGCAGUGGGAAGGGAUCAUGGAUUGCCAUGGCAAUCUCAGUCCUACAGGCUCGUAGCUGUGAGCGCAGACAGAUGUCAUGCUCAUAAAUGUCCUUACAGAGUGAAUAAAGAGCCAACUACACUGCUCUACACAACCCUACGGCAACAACUUUGACAGAUUCAAUCCCCUCACACUAUCAGCAGCAACUUCCUGUUCUUACAUACAACCUUCCGCUUGCACUCGACUGUUCUGCAAUUCUUCUCAACCAACUGUGAAUUGGCUAGAUGGUGUGAAUACAACAAUGUCAUCACAGAUCAA
Ctenopharyngodon idella (grass carp) is the source of this 338-nucleotide long non-coding RNA. RefSeq lists it as uncharacterized. Lineage: Eukaryota; Metazoa; Chordata; Actinopteri; Cypriniformes; Xenocyprididae. The record is from RefSeq and is a predicted model, not a curated record. The transcript is spliced from 2 exons.